ACGGGAGGCAGCAGUGGGGAAUAUUGCACAAUGGGGGAAACCCUGAUGCAGCGACGCCGCGUGAGUGAUGAAGUAUUUCGGUAUGUAAAGCUCUAUCAGCAGGGAAGAUAAUGACGGUACCUGACUAAGAAGCACCGGCUAAAUACGUGCCAGCAGCCGCGGUAAUACGUAUGGUGCAAGCGUUAUCCGGAUUUACUGGGUGUAAAGGGAGCGUAGGUGGUUUGGCAAGCCAGAAGUGAAAACCCGGGGCUCAACUCCGUGGAUUGCUUUUGGAACUGUUGAACUAGAGUUCAGGAGGGGUAAGUGGAAUUCCCAGUGUAGCGGUGAAAUGCUUAGAUAUUGGGAGGAACACCAGUGGCGAAGGCGGCUUACUGGACUGAUACUGACACUGAGGCUCGAAAGCGUGGGGAGCAAACAGGAUUAGAUACCCUGGUA
RNAcentral lists this ribosomal RNA (435 nucleotides) under uncultured Lachnospiraceae bacterium. RNAcentral's name for it is "bacterial SSU rRNA". It matches the Rfam family "Bacterial small subunit ribosomal RNA", at positions 341 to 792 of the family's 1533-position model. RNAcentral also lists the same sequence under 1 other name. The record is from RNAcentral. Lineage: Bacteria; Bacillati; Bacillota; Clostridia; Lachnospirales; Lachnospiraceae.